AACGCACCUUGCGCCCCUUGGCAUUCCGAGGGGCACACCCGUUUGAGUGUCGUGAAAUCUUCAAAAACCCUUUUUUCUUUGAACCAUUGUGGUCGGAAAAAGGAUUUUUGGACUUGGAGGCUUUAAUGCUUGCCCUUUCUUCUUUUUGAAAGCGAGCUCCUCUCAAAUGAAUUAGUGGGGUCCGCUUUGCUGAUCCUUGACGUGAUAAAAUGUUUCUACGUUUUGGGUUUAGCACUGUCCCUUGGAUGCCUGCUGCUAACCGUCUCCUUGACGAUGAUGGUGCUCCGGUCACUGCCGUCUACGUCGGCGGGAGGCUGGACCCACGAAAAGAAAACCUUGACCUCAAAUCGGGUGAGACUACCCGCUGAACUUAA
RNAcentral lists this unclassified non-coding RNA (374 nucleotides) under uncultured Russula. Its description in RNAcentral is "partial contains 5.8S ribosomal RNA, internal transcribed spacer 2, and large subunit ribosomal RNA". Lineage: Eukaryota; Fungi; Basidiomycota; Agaricomycetes; Russulales; Russulaceae. The record is from RNAcentral.